GGGUUGUGAGGUUAAGCGACUAAGCGUACACGGUGGAUGCCCUGGCAGUCAGAGGCGAUGAAGGACGUGCUAAUCUGCGAUAAGCGUCGGUAAGGUGAUAUGAACCGUUAUAACCGGCGAUUUCCGAAUGGGGAAACCCAGUGUGUUUCGACACACUAUCAUUAACUGAAUCCAUAGGUUAAUGAGGCGAACCGGGGGAACUGAAACAUCUAAGUACCCCGAGGAAAAGAAAUCAACCGAGAUUCCCCCAGUAGCGGCGAGCGAACGGGGAGCAGCCCAGAGCCUGAAUCAGUGUGUGUGUUAGUGGAAGCGUCUGGAAAGGCGCGCGAUACAGGGUGACAGCCCCGUACACAAAAAUGCACAUGCUGUGAGCUCGAUGAGUAGGGCGGGACACGUGGUAUCCUGUCUGAAUAUGGGGGGACCAUCCUCCAAGGCUAAAUACUCCUGACUGACCGAUAGUGAACCAGUACCGUGAGGGAAAGGCGAAAAGAACCCCGGCGAGGGGAGUGAAAAAGAACCUGAAACCGUGUACGUACAAGCAGUGGGAGCACGCUUAGGCGUGUGACUGCGUACCUUUUGUAUAAUGGGUCAGCGACUUAUAUUCUGUAGCAAGGUUAACCGAAUAGGGGAGCCGAAGGGAAACCGAGUCUUAACUGGGCGUUAAGUUGCAGGGUAUAGACCCGAAACCCGGUGAUCUAGCCAUGGGCAGGUUGAAGGUUGGGUAACACUAACUGGAGGACCGAACCGACUAAUGUUGAAAAAUUAGCGGAUGACUUGUGGCUGGGGGUGAAAGGCCAAUCAAACCGGGAGAUAGCUGGUUCUCCCCGAAAGCUAUUUAGGUAGCGCCUCGUGAAUUCAUCUCCGGGGGUAGAGCACUGUUUCGGCAAGGGGGUCAUCCCGACUUACCAACCCGAUGCAAACUGCGAAUACCGGAGAAUGUUAUCACGGGAGACACACGGCGGGUGCUAACGUCCGUCGUGAAGAGGGAAACAACCCAGACCGCCAGCUAAGGUCCCAAAGUCAUGGUUAAGUGGGAAACGAUGUGGGAAGGCCCAGACAGCCAGGAUGUUGGCUUAGAAGCAGCCAUCAUUUAAAGAAAGCGUAAUAGCUCACUGGUCGAGUCGGCCUGCGCGGAAGAUGUAACGGGGCUAAACCAUGCACCGAAGCUGCGGCAGCGACGCUUAUGCGUUGUUGGGUAGGGGAGCGUUCUGUAAGCCUGUGAAGGUGUGCUGUGAGGCAUGCUGGAGGUAUCAGAAGUGCGAAUGCUGACAUAAGUAACGAUAAAGCGGGUGAAAAGCCCGCUCGCCGGAAGACCAAGGGUUCCUGUCCAACGUUAAUCGGGGCAGGGUGAGUCGACCCCUAAGGCGAGGCCGAAAGGCGUAGUCGAUGGGAAACAGGUUAAUAUUCCUGUACUUGGUGUUACUGCGAAGGGGGGACGGAGAAGGCUAUGUUGGCCGGGCGACGGUUGUCCCGGUUUAAGCGUGUAGGCUGGUUUUCCAGGCAAAUCCGGAAAAUCAAGGCUGAGGCGUGAUGACGAGGCACUACGGUGCUGAAGCAACAAAUGCCCUGCUUCCAGGAAAAGCCUCUAAGCAUCAGGUAACAUCAAAUCGUACCCCAAACCGACACAGGUGGUCAGGUAGAGAAUACCAAGGCGCUUGAGAGAACUCGGGUGAAGGAACUAGGCAAAAUGGUGCCGUAACUUCGGGAGAAGGCACGCUGAUAUGUAGGUGAAGUCCCUCGCGGAUGGAGCUGAAAUCAGUCGAAGAUACCAGCUGGCUGCAACUGUUUAUUAAAAACACAGCACUGUGCAAACACGAAAGUGGACGUAUACGGUGUGACGCCUGCCCGGUGCCGGAAGGUUAAUUGAUGGGGUUAGCCGCAAGGCGAAGCUCUUGAUCGAAGCCCCGGUAAACGGCGGCCGUAACUAUAACGGUCCUAAGGUAGCGAAAUUCCUUGUCGGGUAAGUUCCGACCUGCACGAAUGGCGUAAUGAUGGCCAGGCUGUCUCCACCCGAGACUCAGUGAAAUUGAACUCGCUGUGAAGAUGCAGUGUACCCGCGGCAAGACGGAAAGACCCCGUGAACCUUUACUAUAGCUUGACACUGAACAUUGAGCCUUGAUGUGUAGGAUAGGUGGGAGGCUUUGAAGUGUAGACGCCAGUCUGCAUGGAGCCGACCUUGAAAUACCACCCUUUAAUGUUUGAUGUUCUAACGUUGACCCGUAAUCCGGGUUGCGGACAGUGUCUGGUGGGUAGUUUGACUGGGGCGGUCUCCUCCUAAAGAGUAACGGAGGAGCACGAAGGUUGGCUAAUCCUGGUCGGACAUCAGGAGGUUAGUGCAAUGGCAUAAGCCAGCUUGACUGCGAGCGUGACGGCGCGAGCAGGUGCGAAAGCAGGUCAUAGUGAUCCGGUGGUUCUGAAUGGAAGGGCCAUCGCUCAACGGAUAAAAGGUACUCCGGGGAUAACAGGCUGAUACCGCCCAAGAGUUCAUAUCGACGGCGGUGUUUGGCACCUCGAUGUCGGCUCAUCACAUCCUGGGGCUGAAGUAGGUCCCAAGGGUAUGGCUGUUCGCCAUUUAAAGUGGUACGCGAGCUGGGUUUAGAACGUCGUGAGACAGUUCGGUCCCUAUCUGCCGUGGGCGCUGGAGAACUGAGGGGGGCUGCUCCUAGUACGAGAGGACCGGAGUGGACGCAUCACUGGUGUUCGGGUUGUCAUGCCAAUGGCACUGCCCGGUAGCUAAAUGCGGAAGAGAUAAGUGCUGAAAGCAUCUAAGCACGAAACUUGCCCCGAGAUGAGUUCUCCCUGACCCUUUAAGGGUCCUGAAGGAACGUUGAAGACGACGACGUUGAUAGGCCGGGUGUGUAAGCGCAGCGAUGCGUUGAGCUAACCGGUACUAAUGAACCGUGAGGCUUAACCUUACAACGCCGAAGCUGUU
RNAcentral lists this ribosomal RNA (2932 nucleotides) under Escherichia coli. RNAcentral describes it as "23S ribosomal RNA". It matches the Rfam family "Bacterial large subunit ribosomal RNA". The record is from RNAcentral. Lineage: Bacteria; Pseudomonadati; Pseudomonadota; Gammaproteobacteria; Enterobacterales; Enterobacteriaceae.